RNAcentral lists this unclassified non-coding RNA (240 nucleotides) under soil metagenome. Its description in RNAcentral is "partial contains 5.8S ribosomal RNA, internal transcribed spacer 2, and large subunit ribosomal RNA". The record is from RNAcentral.
AACAUCGCGCACCUGCGGGAACCUGCGGAAGGAUCAUUAAUGAUUGGUGGCUGUUGCUGACUAGUGUUUCUAGUAUGUGCACGCUACACCUUCAAUCCCACUUACACCUGUGCACCUUCUGUAAUAGAUCUAUGUGGAUACGGAGAUGUGAAAGUUUGCGCUCUCCUACUCUGUUGAAGCAGUCUACUACGUUUUUUUACACACACACACACAAUAGUCAUUGAAUGUAUUUUUUAUUCU